UAGGGAAUCUUCGGCAAUGGGGGCGACCCUGACCGAGCAACGCCGCGUGAGUGAAGAAGGUUUUCGGAUCGUAAAGCUCUGUUGUAAGAGAAGAACGUGUGUGAGAGUGGAAAGUUCACACAGUGACGGUAACUUACCAGAAAGGGACGGCUAACUACGUGCCAGCAGCCGCGGUAAUACGUAGGUCCUGAGCGUUGUCCGGAUUUAUUGGGCGUAAAGCGAGCGCAGGCGGUUUAAUAAGUCUGAAGUUAAAGGCAGUGGCUUAACCAUUGUUCGCUUUGGAAACUGUUAGACUUGAGUGCAGAAGGGGAGAGUGGAAUUCCAUGUGUAGCGGUGAAAUGCGUAGAUAUAUGGAGGAACACCGGUGGCGAAAGCGGCUCUCUGGUCUGUAACUGACGCUGAGGCUCGAAAGCGUGGGGAGCAAACAG
This 428-nucleotide ribosomal RNA is filed under the name uncultured bacterium. Its description in RNAcentral is "bacterial SSU rRNA". It matches the Rfam family "Bacterial small subunit ribosomal RNA", at positions 355 to 775 of the family's 1533-position model. The record is from RNAcentral.